GGUGAGUAACGCGUGGGAAUCUACCUAGCUCUACGGAAUAACCCAGGGAAACUUGGACUAAUACCGUAUACGUCCUUCGGGAGAAAGAUUUAUCGGAGUUGGAUGAGCCCGCGUUGAAUUAUAUAGUUGAAGCCCGACUUGAGAUGGACCCGCGUCCCAUCAGCUAGUUGGUGAGGUAAAAGCUCACCAAGGCGACGACGGGUAGCCGGCCUGAGAGGGUGACCGGCCACACUGGGACUGAGACACGGCCCAGACUCCUACGGGGGGCAGCAGUGGGGAAUCUUGCACAAUGGGCGAAAGCCUGAUGCAGCGACGCCGCGUGAGCGAAGAAGG
RNAcentral lists this ribosomal RNA (333 nucleotides) under uncultured bacterium. RNAcentral describes it as "bacterial SSU rRNA". It matches the Rfam family "Bacterial small subunit ribosomal RNA", at positions 105 to 414 of the family's 1533-position model. The record is from RNAcentral.